Molecule: ribosomal RNA, 508 nt
Filed under: uncultured Glomus
Lineage: Eukaryota; Fungi; Glomeromycota; Glomeromycetes; Glomerales; Glomeraceae
Description: SSU rRNA
Rfam family: Eukaryotic small subunit ribosomal RNA
Source: RNAcentral
AGCAGCCGCGGUAAUUCCAGCUCCAAUAGCGUAUAUUAAAGUUGCUGCAGUUAAAAAGCUCGUAGUUGAAUUUCGGGAUCAAUAUGUUGGUCGUGCCUCGGUACGUACUAGCUUAUUGGUUUCUCCCUUCUGACGAACCAUGAUGUCAUUUAUUUGGUGUUAUGGGAAAUCAGGACUGUUACUUUGAAAAAAUUAGAGUGUUUAAAGCAGGCUCACGCUUGAAUACAUUAGCAUGGAAUAAUGAAAUAGGACGUUUGAUUCUAUUUUGUUGGUUUCUAGGAUCGACGUAAUGAUUAAUAGGGAUAGUUGGGGGCAUUAGUAUUCAAUUGUCAGAGGUGAAAUUCUUGGAUUUAUUGAAGACUAACUACUGCGAAAGCAUUUGCCAAGGAUGUUUUCAUUAAUCAAGAACGAAAGUUAGGGGAUCGAAGACGAUCAGAUACCGUCGUAGUCUUAACCAUAAACUAUGCCGACUAGGGAUCGGAUGAUGUUAAUUUUUAAUGACUCAUUC